GCCUAACACAUGCAAGUCGAACAAAGCUCCUUWUCUUCGGACGAGGAGUCUUAGUGGCGAACGGGUGAGUAACGCGUGGGUGACCUGCCCCGAAGUGUGGGAUACCAGUCCGAAAGGACUGCUAAUACUGCAUAACAUCCAGGAGAUUAGAACCUGCUGGAUUAAAGGAUUUUUUCGCUUCGGGAGGGGCCUGCGUCCCAUCAGCUAGUUGGUAAGGUAAUGGCUUACCAAGGCGAUGACGGGUAGGGGACCUGAGAGGGUGACCCCCCACAAUGGAACUGAAACACGGUCCAUACACCUACGGGUGGCAGCAGUAGGGAAUAUUAGUAAUGGGCGAAAGCCUGAACUAGCAACGCCCGCCGUGUGCGAAGAAGGCCUUCGGGUUGUAAAGCACUUUUUGAGAAGGACGAAGGAAGGACGGUACUCUCAGAAUAAGUCUCGGCUAACUACCGUGCCAGCAGCCGCCGGUAAUACA
Molecule: ribosomal RNA, 475 nt
Filed under: uncultured bacterium
Lineage: Bacteria
Description: bacterial SSU rRNA
Rfam family: Bacterial small subunit ribosomal RNA
Source: RNAcentral